AAAACUGUCAAGUAUAAUGCAAAUAUUUUCUUCCUAUCUCAAUUGAAAGUCUGAGUUCAUUAGGGACUUCCUGUAGUCCUACAAUGUUCAAUCAUGGUGGGAGCUCUUUUAGGGUUCAUUAUAUCCCCUCAGUCUUCACAAGAAAACAUUUUGGUGAUUUUCUUUUUUUCUUUUUUCCUUUUUUGGUCUUUUUAGGGCUAUACCCUCAGCGUGUAGAAAUUCCCAGGCUAGUGGUCAAAUCAGAGCUGCAGCUGCCAGCCUAUUCCACAUCCACAGCAACACCAGAUCCAAGCUGCAUCUGCAACCUACACCAAAGCUCAUAGCAAUGCCAGAUCCUUAACCCACUGAGCGAGGCCAGGGAUCGAACCCACAGCCUCAUGGACACUAGUCAGGUUCAUUACCACUGAGCCAUGAUGGGAACUCCCAAUUUGGUAAUUUUUAAUCUAGCAAUCUGAUUUCCUAGAAUUCUUUACUAGCAGCAGAAAAUGAAUGAAACAUUCUAAGGUCCUGGAGCUUCAUCAGAACAUGGAAUUGUAUGUGUCGUCACUUGUAGAACUAAAACUAGCCACAAUGCUAAUACUAGGGACCGGGUGUUUCCAGGAGGAAUACCUUGAAGUAUGUAUGUUCCUUCCUCCCUUCCUCACUUGAUCAAUUAUCAGGCGUCUUUUAGUAAACUACUUGAUAUCAAGACUAUGUUAGAUGACAUAGAUGGGCUGACAAUGCAAGGUAAGAUGGUUCUGUACACUAACAAAUCAGUCCUGGAGGAAAGAUAUAAACAUAGUUAAUGACAUGUAUGUUACAAGUAUAACCAAGACACAAUAUUAUUGGAAUGCAUCACAAUCACUCGUUUACUUAUUGUCUGUGGCUGCCUUUCACAGCAUAGCAGAGUUGAAUAUUUGCAAGAGAAACCAUAUGGCUCACAGUGCCUAAAAUAUUUCCUAGCUUAUCCUUAAUAGAAAAUAAUGUGCUGAUCUCUGGUCUGGACUUCACCGAGGAAGGCUUAUAAUAAGGCCUAAAAGUAAAGGUCAGAGUACAGAUUGAAACUUGGUUUUAUAUUCAGAUGUCAGGAGGACUAUGUUCCAACCACUAGAUAUAAGACAUUGGACAAAUUUGCCUUAGAUUGUUUUAGCUUUGAAAUCUCAAGGAAAUUUUUAAUGUCUAAGUAUGUGUUCAGCAGGAACUCUGAAAGAGCAUUUACUACACCAAAAGGGGAGUCAGUGUUUGUCACCAUCACCACCAAAAAGCUUUAGGUUAAAAAAAAAAAGCAAAAGCUUUAGGUAGUAAAUAGGCCAUAUGCUGAGAGGAUAGGGCAAAGGCAGAACUUAGAACUUUUUAAUGGUAGGUAUGUGGGAAUUUCAGUUUAAAAACAGUUUCUCAGUAAAUUGGUAAACUGAGAGUAUUUUUUUUUUUACAGAAAAAUAUUUUACACAUAUCCUAACAAUUCAAUGGUGUUGAUUAUGAAACAGUAUCAAUGGAGAGCCAGAUUGAGAUGGGGAAGUUAUCAUUGUUCUGACAAAAAGCUAAAUUACCCCCACUAUUUCUCUGAAGAAGGAAAUUCCCUCCAAUUUUAUGUUUGCCUCUUUCUUUGAUUUGACGGUUCUUUUAAAAACCUUUCUAACAGCUGGAGUGUAUGACCCUUGGAACACAUCAUUUAUCUGGGGAAUAACAUUCAUUUUAAUAUCAUUUCACCAAGGAAGCAAGACUUAAACCCACAUUUUCUGAUCCACUUAGUUGAUAAUAUUCUUCUAAAAAAAUUUCUGGCUGGUGAAAGGAAGAUAAUUUAAUUUAAAGAGAUUAGAUAUAUUGCUUGAAAUGCAAGUCCCCCAGAAUUUGACAGCAGAACAAGACCAGUGAACAGAAAACUCAUCUUGCCUCCUUGCUAAUACAUGCAUCAGGGAAUUUAUAAGUUGGGCCGUCAGUCUUUGCUCCAUGGAGUAAUGUCAGUGUCGUUGCUUCUUAAAAUCUGACAUUCAUUAGAAGCACCCAGUGUGGAUAUGUAGCAGGAUUUUUGACAAAUCAGCCAAGUGUCACCAUUCUGUAGAGGAUUAUAGAGUGAUGCUGCUUGGCUUUGAGCUCUUUCUUUUGUCUGAAUGGAUCUUGUCUUCAUAGAGCACAUGAAAGGUUGGGUUUCAUUUUUGUUCCAAAUGGGCUGAUUUCAUUUUUCUUUUUCCAUCAAAUUAGGGAGAACUUGGGAAAUAUAGGGGGAAGCUAACAUAUAUUAUUCAUUUCCUAUGAGCCAGGUAUUGUGUAGGUCCUUCCCCCUUCCAUUUCUUCCUCCCUCCCUCCCUUCCUCCCUCCCUUCCUCCCUCCCUUCCUUCCUUUCCAUUUACCUAUCUUUCUAUCUAAUCAUUAAACAUAUGUAUUAUAUACAUAUGUGUGUGUAUCACAAUAGCCUAUGAGUUAGCUGCCAUAAUUCAUACCUAUUUAACAGCUAAAGAAACUGAGGUGGAAAGAGGCCCAGUCAUUUGCCAAAGUAAUUGAGCUUCAGUGACUAGGAAGUUUGUAAACUUGGUAGAAAAUAUAUCAGUGACCAACAACUAACAUUCAGAAUUUCAUUGGUCAAGUUGUUCUUCCUACUUUUAUCUUUGCAGGGGAACUAGAAAUCUAAUGCUGGUUGGCUCUUCAAACUUCAUGCUCUCCUCAAAAGCCUUGUGCAGAAACACCAUAGCUGUAUUUAUUAUUUUGAAAACAAGCACACACCUGCCACUGCCCCCAGUUGUGUUGUUAGAUUGGAAACAAUGCCGCCUGUGGCUCUCUAUACCCUCCCCUCUCAUUACAGCCCAUCCUUGGAACACAAUCAUUUUCUGUAUUAUCCAAAGGUGUCAUUAUGGGAUGCCUGCUAUAUAGUUAGUGCAGUGUCAGCAUAUUCAGUUUGAAUACCCCCACCCCCAUCCCCAGAGGAUAUAACUAGGCCAUAAGAAUUCCUUUGGGGCUACUAUAUUGGUUAGGGACAUAGUUGUGUGGCUGGGGGAACAGUUUUCAGUGGCUUACUAUCUAUAGUUUUAGGUCAAAUUUGAAUAAAUUCUCUCCUCAAUUCUAGGAAAACAAUAGCUCCACAGUUUGUGAUGGAAAAGUAAACUGAAUUUGCAUGAAGACUUUGGGGAAGUUGAAACAAGACAAGCCUGGGAUGAAAAGCUGGAAUUAAAAUGUUUUAUUUAAAUUGGAAGUUUUAAAAUGAAUAUUGUGGAGAAGUGUAUGUUCUAGUUAGUGUUUCAUGCUGUAACUUAAUUUUCUAGGAAAUAGUUUAAUGGGAAGUCUGAGGUUUGCACAUACUAUUUCAGGGUCCUGAAUAUUCCACAUAGUAAUGUCUGUGUUUUCCCUGAAGCAACAGCUUUGAAUAAACUAUGUCCUUUUUUCCCAGCUUCAAAUAUUUUUCAAUUGAAAACCAGAAAGGGCUAUCUUCAGAAUGUUUCUUUCAGUUAAAGAACGUAUAGAUUUUUAGCCAUGAGAAUAACUAAAGUUUAUCAUUAGCUAAUGUAAAAACUGCUUUUUAUUAAGCAGAGGCUAAGAGCACAGACCAUGGAAUCAGAAUGCCUGAGCAAUUUGAAUCUCACAAACUCCGCAAUUUAUAAGCCAUGCAACCUUGGGCAGGUUCCACAACCUCUUUGUGUGCCUACUUCCUCCUCCGUAAGAUUAAGGUAAUUACACCUUCCUCAGUAGGGAUGUUAGGAGGAUUAAAUGAGUGAAUUCAUGUGUUGGGAAGGAAAAGCUUUUCCUCUACCUUCUUAGGUUCUAUACAGGGGGCCUGUGAAUUAAAGUAAUAAAAGACAUAUUAACAGGAAAAAAGGCAUAUAAUGUUUAUUAAUAUUUGCAUGCAUAAGGUUUCACAAAAAAAGUGGUUAGAUUUAGGGACUUACAGGCAAUUUUAACGAAGGAGAGGAGGUUUUGGCUUCAGGGGAAGUGAAAUAUAUGGGGAAAUAUAUAGGGGAGCUAAGGGAAGACAACAGUUAUUUUAGCAAGGUCUGUGUAUGCAAACUUACCUCUGUUGACUCUUUCAGUGAUAAGAGCAUUCUCCCUCUCCUGGUACAGAAAGGGGGUGGAGAAACACCUUCAGGAAGAAAAAUUUUUGCUCUGAUUUUAAGCAGAUAAGUGGAGGGCAGAGAACUCUUUCUGCAUCUGCUGAUUCUCAGUUGCCAUCCACUCAAAAUAAUCAUUAUGCCUAUAUAGCAUAUUUGGGGGUGCCAUAUCCUGAUUCCCUCCACAUGUAAAGCAUUUAGAACAGUUCCAAACACAGGGUAAAGGCUGUAUGCAUUAUAAUUCUUACUGUAUUAACUCUAAAACUGUCUGGCACUGUUAAAAACAUCUACUCGAAUCCUCACAACAACCAUGAAAGGUAAAUUAACCUCCAUUUUACAGAUGAGAGAACCAAGGCUCAGAGAGUUGGCUUGACUUUCCCCAGGCUAAACAGAUCAUAAAUCAGAGUUAGGAAAUGAGCUGAGAGCUGGCACUUUCAGUGUGUACCAGAGAGACAGGAACAGGAAACUGACCCUGAGUCUUAGGGUUUUUCCAGGCAGGGCUUGGAGGAGCUUUCUGAAGUAGUGCUCACUGCUUCUUUAACUGAGCAGACCUUUCAUAUCCCCAAGUAACAGUCCAGGAUUGGAGGGCAAUUCCAAUCUCUGGAGAAACAUUAGUUUAAUACUAAGAAAAGAAUCAAAUUUGCAUAAGUAUUGUAGUUACAAACAAUCAUCAAGGGCGAACUGCAUGCCAGGAGCUCCUGGGAGAUGCAGAUGCUGAGAAUUCUUCAACAGCUCCCAGGCCUUCAGGGAAAGCCUGAUUACCCAGGGCACCCCAGGCACAAGUGCGGAAUCUAGUGAUGCUCCCUCUUCCUUCUUCCCCUCCUCUUUGCCAACACACAGCCCCUGAGGGACUGCAGUACAAAGGGAUACUCUGAACCCAGUGGCUUCCUCGGAGAAGCUUCCUGGAGGGCGGCGUUUCCUUAGGGGGCUCUGCAGGAUGAGAUAAACAGAAGAGUAAGGAAGGCAUCUUUUACUUCUAUGGGCUCCUCAACCACUUGGUGUUAGUCAUCUGGGUUAUCCUCUACACCUGGGAUGUUGGUUAAGUCUAAACCACACCCUCUGUCACCCACACCUCACCCCACCUCUCAGUCAUAGUGUAGCAUCGCUUCGCCCUCCAGAGGUAACCCUAGGGGUGGGUGUAAAGGCUCUGACCCAAGGGCUGCGCGGAGGAACCUCCGGCGCCACGCUGGGUGUGUGAGGUGCGCAUGCGUGCGGCCCUAAAUCUCAAGCCUGCGGGAGCCUCAAGGGCCCGGGCAGCAGAGGCUUUUGGAGCUGGAACCUGGGCCCCAGUCCGAUGCCUGCCAAGGUCCAAGGCCGCUGCAACGUGCUUAUGCUGUUCCACUGCACAUCCUUGGGGCCAGCUGUUCCUCCCAGCAGCUGCAGGCGUCUAAAAUUCGUCCCUUGGAGACCGUCACGCCUGCUCUUCAAACUUUUCUCCUGAAGGGCAGCUUCAGGUCAGUACUCUCUUUUUUAAACACCUUAAGCUAUCGGGGAGCUGGUCCCUUUACACAGUCCCCUCCAUCAUACAAUAUUCUCUCUUCUAAACACCAAGGGGAACACCUGUGGGUCGCGACGUCGGUCUUGUAAGGUAUAUGGUUUCUCAGGAAGGCAAACAGGGGGCAGCAGGAGCCAGAAGGAUGUGCCCUGUGACGAUCGAUUGGGGUGCGCCAAGCUUCAGAGGCUGCGUAGAGGAUGGUGGAAGCUGGCAGCUCCGAUCACUCCUCUUAGCGGAAGCUGGAUCUCACGAAGUCUCAGGAGUUCUACAGGGUCUAAGGGGAGUCUUGGAGUGAGAAAUGCCAAGGUGAACUUGAAAUGAGUUGAGUUGAACCGUGCCCCAAAUAUGGGAGCUAGUAAAUUAUGGGCAGAUUUUUUGCAAGAAAGUGAAGGAGUUGAGACAGGGUUAGAGAGUGAAGACUGGAAUAUGUGUGCAAGGGGAGGGUGUAUUAAAGGCAGGGGGUUGUGGCGCUGAAUUGUAGCUCAGUUCACCAAGUAGGUGGAUCAACCAUCAGUCCCUCUGCCUUGUUGAUGGGGGCUAUGGAAGGCAUCCCAGGAUGUUUACAGGCUGCUUGGGGGUUCAGGAUGACCAGAUCCAGCAAGGGUUCUUAACAAUGUAGACUAUAGUAGUUCCGAAGAGCCAGGUUCUCCCCGGGCACUGCAGUUUUCAGGGAGGGACUGUGAAGAAGGGAGGGCUUGGGCGGGUGAUUAAGGAAAUUGCUCCAUGACCAGGAAAAUGUCAUCUAAAAAGCGUCUGAUAGUUUUCCAGCUUUGAUGUGUGUUCAAUGACACGGACCCUGACCAGAAUAGAAAGUUACUAAUAAUAGCUAACAUUUAUUGAGAGCCUGUAGGUCAGAGGCUUUGCCAAGCACUCUGCAUGGACUACUGACUUGGGUCGGGCUAGAAAUAUUUACUAAGUGUCUGCUGCGUGUCAGACAUUGUUUUAGGAGUUCCCGUCGUGGCGCAGUGGUUAACUAAUCCGACUAGGAACCAUGAGGUUGUGGGUUUGGUCCCUGCCCUUGCUCAGUAGGUUAACGAUCUGGCGUCGCCGUGAGCUGUGGUGUAGGUUGCAGACGCGGCUCGGAUCCCGCGUUGCUGUGGCUUUGGCGUAGGCUGGUGGCUACAGUUCCGAUUGGACCCCUAGCCUGGGAACCUCCAUAUGCCGCUGGAGCGGCCCAAGAAAUAG
Molecule: long non-coding RNA, 6696 nt
Filed under: Sus scrofa (pig)
Lineage: Eukaryota; Metazoa; Chordata; Mammalia; Artiodactyla; Suidae
Description: lncRNA (ENSSSCG00000054830.1, ENSSSCG00180011719.1)
Source: RNAcentral